UGGGGAAUAUUGCACAAUGGGCGCAAGCCUGAUGCAGCCAUGCCGCGUGUAUGAAGAAGGCCUUCGGGUUGUAAAGUACUUUCAGUCGGGAGGAAGGUGGUAAGGUUAAUAACCUUGGCAAUUGACGUUACCGACAGAAGAAGCACCGGCUAACUCAGUGCCAGCAGCCGCGGUAAUACGGAGGGUGCAAGCGUUAAUCGGAAUUACUGGGCGUAAAGCGCACGCAGGCGGUUGAUUGAGUCAGAUGUGAAAUCCCCGGGCUUAACCCGGGAAUUGCAUCUGAUACUGGUCAGCUAGAGUCUUGUAGAGGGGGGUAGAAUUCCAUGUGUAGCGGUGAAAUGCGUAGAGAUGUGGAGGAAUACCGGUGGCGAAGGCGGCCCCCUGGACAAAGACUGACGCUCAGGUGCGAAAGCGUGGGGAGCAAACAGG
Molecule: ribosomal RNA, 429 nt
Filed under: Chloroflexota bacterium
Lineage: Bacteria; Bacillati; Chloroflexota
Description: Chloroflexi bacterium partial 16S ribosomal RNA
Rfam family: Bacterial small subunit ribosomal RNA
Source: RNAcentral